This is a long non-coding RNA of Rhodamnia argentea, 594 nucleotides long. RefSeq lists it as uncharacterized. Lineage: Eukaryota; Viridiplantae; Streptophyta; Magnoliopsida; Myrtales; Myrtaceae. The record is from RefSeq and is a predicted model, not a curated record. The transcript is spliced from 2 exons.
GUUGUGAAAGAAACAUUCUAGGAACAAAGAAAAAAGGAAAAGCAUGUCGCAAGUAAGACGGGGUGAAGCAGGAGCGUGCAGCCAAGAAGAACGUGAUGCCAUCAAAGACGACCCUGCAAUUCUCAAUCUGGCAGCUAGUAAAUGUAACCACGACAAGCUAUGCGACAUCGUGACAGAACGGAUGCAGAUCCACGACGAAUUGAAGGACAACCUCGCGUCCCUCUCCGUCGCGGCGGCUAAAGAUACCAAAUGCAAACGCAGUUAAACUCAAACCUCGUCGUCUCAUCGGUACCCAGGAAACGUUCCAUUACGACGUAUGUUUACCGGGUGAUUUGAUAGUUUUAAGUCUCUUGUUGUCCUUUCUGGUAGGUCUAUCUGAGACCUCCAUUUUUCCCUUCGACAUUGUAAUCCACAGCAAUCUUCUGUGCCUUGUACUCAGACCCACGAACGCCGACAUCCAAAACCUAUUGCCAUGUUUCGAUCGUGGGAAUGAUUGAAGAAACGUUACAAUAAUGUAAGAGAGGGACGUGCAACUGCAUGUGUUGUCUCAGACGACUGAUCUUCAUCGUUAGACUAAACCCUAGAUUAGGGAAU